Molecule: long non-coding RNA, 418 nt
Organism: Arachis stenosperma
Lineage: Eukaryota; Viridiplantae; Streptophyta; Magnoliopsida; Fabales; Fabaceae
Exons: 4
Source: RefSeq, a predicted model, not a curated record
UUGGGGAAGAAGAACACAAGCAAAAUCCUAACCCUCACUUUAAUUUCAAACCCAUGUAACUUUUGAUCCGGAGCUCCGAUUGACGAAUCGUUUGCGACCACGCGUUCAUCGCGACGAGCUCUAUGAAACUCAUUAAACAAUUUGCCUCAAGUUAGCUUCCGGAACUUGUGGGCUCAAGCUAUUGAGUAUAUGGGUAUGGUAUAGGUUAAGUAGGUGUUUAUGCAUUGGAUUUGAAUUGGGAUUACUUGGAGGUUCGUUGGUGACCAAGGCUUGUUUUGGGGAUAUUUGAUUGAGCUUGGAGGGGCUGUAAUUGUGUGUUGUGAGGCUGCCUUGGUGAAUUAAGUGAUUGGCCAAGAUGCAGGUCGAGAGGCUCCUCGCUAGGCGUCUAGUAGUCCUUGGGUGUAUUUUGGCUUCUGGC